This 465-nucleotide ribosomal RNA is filed under the name uncultured bacterium. RNAcentral's name for it is "partial 16S ribosomal RNA". It matches the Rfam family "Bacterial small subunit ribosomal RNA", at positions 338 to 795 of the family's 1533-position model. The record is from RNAcentral.
CCUACGGGUGGCAGCAGUGGGGAAUAUUGCGCAAUGGGCGAAAGCCUGACGCAGCGACGCCGCGUGAGGGAUGAAGGUCUUCGGAUCGUAAACCUCUGUCAGCAGGGAAGAACGGUCACUGUGCUAAUCAGCAGUGAAUUGACGGUAACUGCAAAGGAAGCACCGGCUAACGCCGUGCCAGCAGCCGCGGUAAUAAGGAGGGUGCGAGCGUUAAUCGGAAUUACUGGGCGUAAAGCGCUCGUAGGCGGUAUGUCAAGUCAAGGGUGAAAUCCCCGCGCUCAACGUGGGAACUGCCUUUGAAACUGGCAAACUGGAGUGUGUGAGAGGAUAGUGGAAUUCCAGGUGUAGGAGUGAAAGCCGUAGAUAUCUGGAGGAACAUCAGUGGCGAAGGCGACUAUCUGGCACAUAACUGACGCUGAGGAGCGAAAGCGUGGGUAGCAAACAGGAUCAGAUACCCCUGUAGUC